RNAcentral lists this ribosomal RNA (253 nucleotides) under uncultured bacterium. RNAcentral's name for it is "partial 16S ribosomal RNA". It matches the Rfam family "Bacterial small subunit ribosomal RNA", at positions 524 to 776 of the family's 1533-position model. The record is from RNAcentral.
GACGAGGGAUCCUAGCGUUGUUCGGAAUCAUUGGGCGUAAAGAGGGCGUAGGUGGCCUUGUAAGUCAGAUGUGAAAGCCCCGGGCUCAACCUGGGAAUGGCAAUGGAUACUGGCAGGCUAGAGUGCGGUAGAGGGUAGUGGAAUUCCCGGUGUAGCGGUGAAAUGCGUAGAGAUCGGGAGGAACACCAGUGGCGAAGGCGGCUACCUGGACCAGCACUGACACUGAGGCACGAAAGCGUGGGGAGCAAACAGG